This 638-nucleotide ribosomal RNA is filed under the name Nebria hudsonica. RNAcentral describes it as "partial 16S ribosomal RNA". The stretch from base 392 to 551 matches the Rfam family "Bacterial large subunit ribosomal RNA", at positions 2473 to 2632 of the family's 2925-position model. The record is from RNAcentral. Lineage: Eukaryota; Metazoa; Arthropoda; Insecta; Coleoptera; Carabidae.
CAUGUCCUUUAGAAUUUAAUUUAAGGUCUAGCCUGCCCACUGAAAUUAAUUUAAAUGGCCGCAGUAAUUUGACUGUGCAAAGGUAGCAUAAUCAUUAGUUUUUUAAUUGAAAGCUUGUAUGAAAGGUUGGACGAGGUAAAAUCUGUCUCUAAUUAAUUUAAUUUAGAAUUUAACUUUUAAGUCAAAAGGCUUAAAUUUAAUUAAAAGACGAGAAGACCCUAUAGAUCUUUAUAAUUUAUUUAUUAAGUUUAAUUAAGAAUUUUUUAAAUUUUAUUAAUUUAAUUAUUUUAUUGGGGUAAUAUAAAGAUUAAAUUAAUUCUUUUUUUUUAUUAACAUUAAUUUAUGAUUUUAUGAUCCAAUUUUAUUGGUUAUAAGAUUAAGUUACCUUAGGGAUAACAGCGUUAUUUUUUUAGAGAGUUCUUAUCGAUAAAAAAGUUUACGACCUCGAUGUUGGAUUAAAGAUUAUUUCAGGUGUAGAAGUUUGAAAAUUUUGGUCUGUUCGACCAUUAAAUCUUUACAUGAUCUGAGUUCAGACCGGUGUAAGCCAGGUCGGUUUCUAUCUUUAGUAAAUUAAAAUAUUUUAGUACGAAAGGACCAAUUAUUAAAUAUAAAAUAUUUAGAUUUUAUUGAUUAUUAUU